RNAcentral lists this ribosomal RNA (438 nucleotides) under uncultured Treponema clone CFS163p. RNAcentral describes it as "bacterial SSU rRNA". It matches the Rfam family "Bacterial small subunit ribosomal RNA", at positions 64 to 492 of the family's 1533-position model. Lineage: Bacteria; Pseudomonadati; Spirochaetota; Spirochaetia; Treponematales; Treponemataceae. The record is from RNAcentral.
GAGCGGCAAGUAUCAGCAAUGAUGCUUAGAGCGGCGGACUGGUGAGUAACGCGUGGGUAACCUACCUUUAGGAUGGGGAUAGCUUCUAGAAAUAGGGGGUAAUACCGAAUGUGGUUGCGCUAUGAUGAUAGUGCAAAGAAAGGGGCUUUGGCCCCGCCUCUGGAUGGGCCCGCGUUCCAUUAGCUUGUUGGCGGGGUAAGAGCCCACCAAGGCGAUGAUGGAUAGCCGGCCUGAGAGGGUGAACGGCCACAUUGGGACUGAGAUACGGCCCAAACUCCUACGGGAGGCAGCAGCUAAGAAUAUUCCGCAAUGGGGGAAACCCUGACGGAGCGACGCCGCGUGGAUGACGAAGGCCGGAAGGUUGUAAAAUCCUUUUGCGGAUGAAGAAUAAGCUUGGGAGGGAAUGCCUGAGUGAUGACGUUAGUCCGUGAAUGGGCC